UAUGGGUUGUAUGUGUAUGUGUGUAUUGUAUAUGUUAUAUGUGUGUGUUGUGUUGUUAUGGGUUGUAUGUGUAUGUGUGUUGUUAUGAAUUGUGUGUAUAUGUAUGUGCUGUAUAUGUAGAUGCCUGACAAAGCCUUGUGCAUAAUGUGUAUAUGUAUGUGCAGUAUAUGUAGAUGCCUGACAAAGCCUUGUGCAUAAUCUAUCUCCUAGUAAUUCCUACUAUGUGUGGAUCACAUCCUGUAGCUCUCAGCAUAUCUUGCCGACGAAUGAAUUAGCAUGUAUCCGGUAUUUGAACAAAAUAAUUCCAUAUAACUGUCAACAAAAACACAAGCUAAGCUUUUUGUAAGAGACCCGAUCAGGUAUCCAGACUCCGGGAACAGCAAAAGAUUCAAGUAGAUCAGAACUACAUAGAAGCAUUACCUCGAAUGAAGUUAAAAUUGAUUCCAGAACAAGAGGUGAGAACAUAAACAAUACAUCGCAGCAAAAUUCUACUCUCUUCGAUAAAUAGUCAAUGAAUAUGUUACAGAAAUCUCAUCAAUUUAUGUUACCACCCAUGGAUCUACCAAGAACUUUUGCAUCUAAUUCACACAGCUGAAUUCGAUGGCUGGCUGGCAAAAGAUCCUAACAAAGUGAACUUUUUAACUUUGCACUACUUAGAUUAUAAGCAUAGGAGAUACAUGUAUAAAAAAACAAUAGAAUUCUAAUUUUCCACAGAAGGGCAGUAAGCGAAGAUGUAACUCGCCUAUGAAAACCCAGGUAAUGGAUUGGUUAUUAGACAAAAUAAAGAUGAUCUAACUCCUAAUUUCUUAAUAUCCCAUUAUCGUGCGGCUAGUUUUACCUAAGUCAUGCGACACUUAUAUAUGUUCAUCCGUAAAGGUCAACCAUCCCGAAACCUCCGAUGAUUUCUUAGGACCUACAAAAGAGAAAACAGGUUAGAGAAAAUAUUUUACUCGGGAUCCACAAACAAUCAUUUCAGCAAACACUUCAUAGCCAAUGCAAAUUACAAACAAAUUUCAUAUGUUUUGAACGGUCCGACAACAAAAGAUCCAAUGAUCCACUACAGAUCGAAAUUCUCACAAGUGCCCACUUGACACAAUCUUUGUUUGCAAUCCUAAGACAAUCAUUAAAAAAAAAAAAGGGUUGUUAAGCCUACUGUCAGCUGUUUACAUGUUGUGCAAAGCAUGAACAAAACUGAAAAACACGGAUAUACAUUAACAUUACAUGAUGUGUGUUUGUUAUGUUUGAUGUGUGUGUAUGUGCUAUAUGUUUGUUGUGUGUAUAUGUUGUGUAUAUGUGUUAUAUAUGUUAUGUAUAUGUGUAAUGUGUGUUAGGAGUCGUGUGUGUGUUGUGUAUGUUAUGUGUGUGUGUGUGUGUUGUGUGUAGUAUGUAUUUUUAUGAGUUGUGUGUGUGUAUUGUGUAUGUUAUGUAUGUGUGUGUAGUGUGUGUGUGUAUGUAUGUGUGUGUAUAGUGUAUGUUGUUUGUGUGUGUAUGUGUGUGUGUUGCGUAUGUAUGUGUGUGUAUUAUGAGUGUAUGUGAUACGUAUGUUAUGUGUAUAUUGUUAUUAGUUGUGUGUGUAUGUUGUGUAUGUUAUGUGUGUGUGUGUUUUGUAUGUGUAUUGUGUGUGUCUUUGUGUGUUGUGCAUUGUUUGUGUUAUGUGUGUUGUUAUAAGUUGUGUAUGUUAUGUGUGUGUAUGUGUUGUGGGUGUUGUGUGUAUGUAGUGUAUAUUGUUUUUUUUUUGUAUGUUAUGUUAUGUGUGCGUGUGUAGUGUGUUGUUUGUGAGUUAUGAGGUGUUGUUAUGAGUUGUGUUGUAUAUGUUAUGUGUGUGUAUGUGUUGUGUGUAGUGUGUAUUGUUUAUGAGUUGUGUGUAUGUGUGUCGUGUAUGUUAUGUGUGUGUGUUGUGUGUGUAUGUGUAUUAUAUGGUGUCUUUGUGUGUUGUUUAUUGUGUAUGUGAGUUGUUAUGAGUUGUGUGUGUAAGUGUAUUGUGUGUUGUGUAUGUUAUGUGUGUGUGUGUAUUGUGUAUGUUGUGUGUGUGUGUAUUAUGUGUUGUGUGUAUGUGUGUGUGUGUAUGUGUGCAUGUGUAUUAUGUAUGUUAAGAGUUGUGUGUAUGUGUGUGUGUUAUGUAUGUUGUGUGUUAUUAUGAGUUGUGUUUGUAUAUGUGUAUGUUAUAUGCGUGAAGUGUGUUGUUAUGAGUUGUAUGUGUAUAUAUGUGUUGUUUGCAGUAUGUGUUGUGUGUAUAUGUGUAUUGUGUGUGUUGUUUAUUGUGUGUGUUAUGUGUGUGGGUAUUGUAUGUUUUGCGUGAUUGCUGCGAUCUUUUUGUCAUAGAUUACAGAUAUGUAGUGCAACUUUUUUUCUAUGUUAUGAGGUGUUUUACAAAGGGCUUUCGAUGUGUUAGCACAAAAGAGGAAGAAAGGGCAACAACUGUUGCUACCCCUUAGAUUGGCAAAAGGCUGCUUCGUCGCAAGAAGGAAGUUGGGAUAGCUCCGCCAGAGUACUUCCAUUUGAGACUACAUGAAGUAAUUUUCUGCACUAAUGCUGGACAUAUAGGACAUGUCCGAGAAGGAUAAGCUGUUCAGCUUCCUCGAUGGUUUGAAGCUAUGGGCUCAACAAGAACUACAUCGAAGGAAUGUCGCCGAUGUGAUCGGGGCAAUUGUUGCCGUAGAAAGGCUCACCAACUUUGUUUUCUCUGAAGACCCGGGAAAAAGGAAACAAUCUUCAGGCAAUUGCCCUCCAAAAUAUUCUCAAGGGAAGGAGCUCGGGGGCGAAUAAAGGAAGAAGAGUUCCUACAAAGGGCCAAGUCCGAAAGGCAAAGCCCCAAAACCUGGCGGAUGCUUCUUGUGCGGAGGGUCGCACAUGGUAAGGGAGUGCCCACAAAAACAGGCACUCAAUGAUUUAACAGCUUCUAUCCACCCCCCCAAAUCGGACAAGGGCAAGGCUGUCGCUCUUAGUUCGAGUAGUUUUGAAUCCAGUAGCGAUAAUGAGGAGUCGCAAAGAGCCUGAUGGGAGCAAUGCGUUUGUUGAACUCCAUACAGGGCCAAGUGGGGGAGAACAUGAAGACAAGGCUACAAAAAGCAGGAAGUGGUGAGCUUAUAUACAUAGACAUCAAGCUCAAUGGCCUAACAACUCGUGCAAUGGUGGACACCAGGGGUGCCCCUUAUAGCUAGGCAACAACUGUUGCUACCCCUUAGAUUGGCAAAAGGCUGCUUGCAGCCUUGGCUGAGUGCCCUUCUUGCUGCUCUAAGCUUGGCUAAAAGCAGCAAGAAUGAGAGCAACAAGACUGCUCUCAACCUGCUACAUGGCAACCCUUGUCUAGCUACAAGGGGCACCCCUGGUGGCUAAGGUUUCUUGGCCGCAAGGGUUGCCUUAGUGGCUAGGACUCUUGGCCGCAUGGGCAAGCAAACCCCGGCCGUGCAAGUACACCCUAUAGCUAGUGUUUUUUGGCUGUAGAGGUAACCUUGGGGGCUAGGGAACCCUAGCCGCCCAAACCUGGCUGCGUGGGGCACCCUAUUGUAGGGUACCCCAAAAGGUAGAAAAGUAAUUAAUUAAAUAAUUAAAUAAUAAUAAUAAUAAUAAUAAUUAUUAUUAUUAUCUAGUAGUCCUAUAUGAUAAUGAUUUGUACGUGAUGUAUGAUGUAGACGGAUGAUCAUUAACCAUAUGAUGUGUGUAUACAUGUGAUAUGAUUAUUAUUAUUAUUGGAGCUUACGAGCCUUAAAUUUUUUUCUCAUUUAUUGUUGGGCCUACGUGCCUAUGAUUAAGUUGUAAUAAUAUGAGGAGACACGACGGGAGUGUAGAGGCGAUAGCGAAACCCACGAGACCGAGAAGGACGAUCACAGGGCAUGGAGAUGCCUAUGCAACCGACGAGAACGAGAU
RNAcentral lists this long non-coding RNA (3867 nucleotides) under Musa acuminata (dwarf banana). RNAcentral's name for it is "long non-coding RNA (MACU_LNC011905)". The record is from RNAcentral. Lineage: Eukaryota; Viridiplantae; Streptophyta; Magnoliopsida; Zingiberales; Musaceae.